RNAcentral lists this ribosomal RNA (424 nucleotides) under uncultured Nitrosospira sp. Its description in RNAcentral is "bacterial SSU rRNA". It matches the Rfam family "Bacterial small subunit ribosomal RNA", at positions 207 to 622 of the family's 1533-position model. The record is from RNAcentral. Lineage: Bacteria; Pseudomonadati; Pseudomonadota; Betaproteobacteria; Nitrosomonadales; Nitrosomonadaceae.
CAAGACCUUGCGCUUUUGGAGCGGCCGAUGUCUGAUUAGCUAGUUGGUGAGGUAAAGGCUUACCAAGGCUUCGAUCAGUAGCUGGUCUGAGAGGACGACCAGCCACACUGGGACUGAGACACGGCCCAGACUCCUACGGGAGGCAGCAGUGGGGAAUUUUGGACAAUGGGGGCAACCCUGAUCCAGCCAUGCCGCGUGAGUGAAGAAGGCCUUCGGGUUGUAAAGCUCUCUCAGCCGGAACGAAAAGGUUACGGUUAAUACCCGUGACUAAUGACGGUACCGGAAGAAGAAGCACCGGCUAACUACAUGCCAGCAGCCGCGGUAAUACGUAGGGUGCGAGCGUUAAUCGGAAUUACUGGGCGUAAAGCGUGCGCAGGCGGUUUUGUAAGUCAGAUGUGAAAUCCCCGGGCUUAACCUGGGAACU